UGCCGAAGAAGAAGAAGGGAGAGGCAUGUGUGCGAGAAAUGGAGGUCUACAAACGGUUGAAGGAGGAAGAAGUGACGAUAUUGCAGAAAGAAGUGGUGGAACGGAUGAAACUUCACCAACAAGAAGCCUUUCAAUUGUCCAAGGAAAACCGAAAACAUGAUAAAGGCCACUUACUUUCCCAUAACCAUCAUCCAAUUGAUGAAAACUAAUCUCAUAGUGUGUUCAAGUUUGAGGUUGACAGGAUCAUGUGCAAUUAAUUUUCUUUCAGAAGAAGAAAGUGACCAAGGAGAAUAAGAAGAACUCAAAGUUGCCCUCUUCUUCACUUCUCUUCAGCUACCGACCUUAUCCAUCAAACUCGAAAAAGACGCGAGGAAGGCUUUUUAAGAUGAACGCCCUGGAAUCAACAACUCGACCAUGAAUGCCGUUAUUUCAGUAAAAUGGAAGUGAAGUAGAGAGGCAAAGUUACAACGAAAAGGCUGUGGAGUUGAUGUUGAUGUACAAGAAGGAACUUGAAUAGGACAACAAAGUGUGCUGAUUCACAGAAGUUAUUAUGGCAGAGGAGAAGCACUAGAUUGAAGUUGUUUGGGGAUGAGUAGAAACAGAAAACUUCAAUGGAACUGCUUGAUAAGUAUGAAUUGGCACUGACUACCACCUGUUAAGUUGUGUCCAAGUUGUUGAAGGACCCACUUGUGCCCAAACAUCGCUUGCCAACGUUUCUUAUUUAUGCAAAGGAAAGAAGAACAGCUUUGCAGUCAAAAAGCUAGAACCGUGGAGAGAACGCGAAGAUGGGAGUAGAAGAGUGGAAGAACUUGUCUGAAAAA
Molecule: long non-coding RNA, 821 nt
Organism: Tarenaya hassleriana
Lineage: Eukaryota; Viridiplantae; Streptophyta; Magnoliopsida; Brassicales; Cleomaceae
Exons: 5
Source: RefSeq, a predicted model, not a curated record